UAGAGUUUGAUCCUGGCUCAGAUUGAACGCUGGCGGCAGGCCUAACACAUGCAAGUCGAACGGUAGCACAGAGGAGCUUGCUCCUUGGGUGACGAGUGGCGGACGGGUGAGUAAUGUCUGGGAAACUGCCCGAUGGAGGGGGAUAACUACUGGAAACGGUAGCUAAUACCGCAUAACGUCGCAAGACCAAAGAGGGGGACCUUCGGGCCUCUUGCCAUCGGAUGUGCCCAGAUGGGAUUAGCUAGUAGGUGGGGUAACGGCUCACCUAGGCGACGAUCCCUAGCUGGUCUGAGAGGAUGACCAGCCACACUGGAACUGAGACACGGUCCAGACUCCUACGGGAGGCAGCAGUGGGGAAUAUUGCACAAUGGGCGCAAGCCUGAUGCAGCCAUGCCGCGUGUAUGAAGAAGGCCUUCGGGUUGUAAAGUACUUUCAGCGAGGAGGAAGGCGUUGUGGUUAAUAACCGCAGCGAUUGACGUUACUCGCAGAAGAAGCACCGGCUAACUCCGUGCCAGCAGCCGCGGUAAUACGGAGGGUGCAAGCGUUAAUCGGAAUUACUGGGCGUAAAGCGCACGCAGGCGGUCUGUCAAGUCGGAUGUGAAAUCCCCGGGCUCAACCUGGGAACUGCAUCCGAAACUGGCAGGCUAGAGUCUUGUAGAGGGGGGUAGAAUUCCAGGUGUAGCGGUGAAAUGCGUAGAGAUCUGGAGGAAUACCGGUGGCGAAGGCGGCCCCCUGGACAAAGACUGACGCUCAGGUGCGAAAGCGUGGGGAGCAAACAGGAUAAGAUACCCUGGUAGUCCACGCCGUAAACGAUGUC
Molecule: ribosomal RNA, 817 nt
Filed under: uncultured bacterium
Lineage: Bacteria
Description: bacterial SSU rRNA
Rfam family: Bacterial small subunit ribosomal RNA
Source: RNAcentral